Phragmites australis (common reed) is the source of this 1026-nucleotide long non-coding RNA. RefSeq lists it as uncharacterized. The transcript is spliced from 3 exons. The record is from RefSeq and is a predicted model, not a curated record. Lineage: Eukaryota; Viridiplantae; Streptophyta; Magnoliopsida; Poales; Poaceae.
AAUUUGAUUUUUUUUUUAAAAUAUAUCUACUAUUUCUGAAUAGGAGGAAGUACUGAGCAGUAAGAAAUGUUCAGUUUUCAGGUUAUGUAAGGAAUGAGAAAUUUUAAGAGGGGAAAGACUCGACCCAUGCAUGCACGCUCACAUUGUACCAAUGCAGGUGAAAUCCCAAUAUUUUCACAGGAACUUCGUGAAACAUCUUGCGGCAAUCAAUGUUUGUUUCUUCAAAAACUCGGAGGUUCCAGAAGACCGGUUAAUUUCACAAACUCAAUGGUGUCCCUUAUCCCUUGCUUUACGCACAUGUCUGAUGACCAUGCUUUGCGGAACAUCUGGCUGCCGAAAGCCGUGUUCUGUGGAUAUUCUGCAGUGUUGUACUAUCACCGGAGCUGGCAACUGCAGAUCUAGAAGAAAUGGUCCAUGUGUUCCUUUCUCAUCUGUAAAAUCAUGCCGAGGAACGAAGGUUAGCUUCACUCAGUUUUGGCUCAUCUAUAGCGGAGUCUUCGCUCAGCUUUGGCUGCCUGUUGAGAUAUUGAAGAUUCCGGAACAUGCAUGGUGCACAAAAGUUCUCGAAAUUGAAACGCUGCUCCGUCCAACAGCGGAGUAACUAGCGUGCAGUACAUGUUGCCGUACAUGGAUGCAUGUUCGCAUGUGCCCCUGACAUCGUACGCAUAGAAACAUCCCCAUCAAGCAAUAAUUUCCGAACAGCGUUUGUCUGCCUAGUAGUAACUACCACGCACCAAACUACAGCUUUGCAAGAAGACCAGAGACCGGAGAACAGAUCCAGUUGACCAGUGUUGUUAUGGACUGUACAUUCAUGGACGGGGAAAAAGUGGUCAAAGGAGCUGUACAGUAACCAUUCACCAUUACCACUGCCAAGUCCAGCUGGUCCAGCCCAAGUUAAUUGGAGGCUUGCACGCCAAACACGAGGACGACGACGGCUGCAGACGCAAACCACGGUGACGACGCCGAUCUCCUGGUGUGCUAGCUCCUCCGAGGCUGGCAGCCGUCGUGAUCGGCGCGGCACGGGUU